UGGCAUACGUCUGCAUUUGCACCUGCAUCUCUCAACAUACAAGAUAUGAAGAUAUCCAUAUGGUUUUCUUCUUCUUCUUGCCGAUUAUUUUGCCGUUGGAGUUGGGAAGAAGACGCAGAUGCAAAUGCAGACGAAUGCCAUC
Molecule: microRNA precursor, 142 nt
Filed under: Aquilegia coerulea
Lineage: Eukaryota; Viridiplantae; Streptophyta; Magnoliopsida; Ranunculales; Ranunculaceae
Description: Aquilegia caerulea miR530 stem-loop (aqc-MIR530)
Gene: aqc-MIR530
Source: miRBase by way of RNAcentral